GAUUCACUAAAAACUGUCCUGAAUUCCUAAGAAUUUAUUUACCGCAAAACUGACAAAGUGUUUAUUUAAAAAAUGAGGUUGAAGGUAGUCCUUUUCUUUCAUUUCAUUCAUUUUCAUUUUCUUUCUUAAGUAUGGCUAACACAAUAUCUAAUCAAUUAAAAUUUUAUAUUUUCACGUGAGUUUCUUUAGAUAAUUAUUAUCAACAUGAUGACUAACUCUUACGGAUUAAUACGUGUCUGUAGGGCAAUCCGGUGGACUUGAUCGGCUUUUUACUUCGAAAGUUGAGUAAUCGGUGUCGCUUUCUUACGCAUCUUUGAACUGUAUAAAUGUUUUAAAAUUGUUUGAUCCAGAAUGUACCACACCGGACAAUCAAGAAGGCAGGUGCCUUGACUACAGAAAAUACGAUCAGUGUGCAGAUACCAGGGCAAUGUUACGAUCGUUUGCUGUCCGAACGAUCCAAACAAAGACAAGAGAGAAAUUUUAAUAAAAACUGUGUAUAAGUAUAAGGCUUUGCGACCACCAUACUGUGGUUUUAGCAACGUCUCUCAUACCAGGGUGGUCGAUGGUAAACCAGCUGAACUUGGUACGUUUUAUGUCUUUCUUUCCGAUUAAUAAUAAGCCAUUUACUGCAAAGAAUGAACUUUAAAGGCAUUAAACAGCACAUCAAUGAAGAGUAUCUUUUUGCUUGAAAUAAAAAAUUGAUAUAGGAGUAAUAAUAUGGAUAGAGAUCAAAAACUGUUAGGGCAGAAAUUACACGUUUGAACUUUAUAGUUCAGUAUAGUUCAAAUAGAAAUUAUAUAGAAUUAUUUAAUAAUUUGUAUUCCACUGGAAUAAAAAUUUAAUUUCUGUCUUUAUCAAAUCUCUAUUUCAGAGUAUUUGUACGUAUGUACUUAUCGUCUGCUGUAUGAUCGAAUAUCG
Long non-coding RNA from Bombus huntii, 918 nucleotides. RefSeq lists it as uncharacterized. NCBI's taxonomy places the organism in Eukaryota, Metazoa, Arthropoda, Insecta, Hymenoptera, Apidae. The transcript has 3 exons. The record is from RefSeq and is a predicted model, not a curated record.